This is a long non-coding RNA of Portunus trituberculatus (swimming crab), 364 nucleotides long. RefSeq lists it as uncharacterized. Lineage: Eukaryota; Metazoa; Arthropoda; Malacostraca; Decapoda; Portunidae. The transcript has 2 exons. The record is from RefSeq and is a predicted model, not a curated record.
AUGUAUUGAGUGUGUGUGGGUGUGUUUGUAUUGAGCUCUGGGUGUGUUUUGGGGCAUUUUGAGGAGUUACAUGGUGUUUUGAGUGUGUUUUGGGAUAAAAUUGAGUGUUUUUACUGAAACUGAGGUUCCCCACGAAUAGACCUGUCUCUGAUAAAAUGCUUUGGUUCGCAGUGACAUCUCAGACAGCUUAGACGAUGGAAUGCUGUCAGCGAGCAGCAUGGAAGACGCAGAGAGAGUGGUGGUCAGGUGGUGGUGGAGACAGGGAGAGUAUGUGGCCUGGAGAUUAACAAACAGAACACCAAUAAUCUUGUGACCUCCAUGCACCCUUCCUAAUGUCAAUAAAGUUGUCUUAUCAUGCCCAAAA